Molecule: ribosomal RNA, 1474 nt
Filed under: uncultured Bordetella sp.
Lineage: Bacteria; Pseudomonadati; Pseudomonadota; Betaproteobacteria; Burkholderiales; Alcaligenaceae
Description: partial 16S-23S ribosomal RNA intergenic spacer
Rfam family: Bacterial small subunit ribosomal RNA
Source: RNAcentral
GGCUGGAUCGUGGCUCAGACUGAACGCUGGCGGGAUGCUUUACACAUGCAAGUCGAACGGCAGCACGGACUUCGGUCUGGUAUGAGGGCGAACGGGUGAGUAAUGCAUCGUGGAACGUGCCCAGUAGCGGGGAUAACUACGCGAAAGCGCAGCGACACCGCAUACGCCCUUCGGGGAAAGCGGGGACCUUCGGGCCUCGCACUAUUAGAGCGGCCGAUAUCGGAUUAGCUAGUUGGUGGGGUAACGGCUCACCACAGCGAUGAUCCGUAGCUGGUUUGAGAGACGACUGAAGCACACUGGGACUGGAGACACGCCCAGACUCCUACGGUGGGAGGCAGCAGUGGGGAAUUUUGGACAAUGGGGGAAACCCCGAUCCAGCCAUCCUUAUGUGCGAUGAAGUGGCCUUCAAGGUAGCACUUUGGCAGUGAAGAAACGGCACGGGAUAAUACCCCGUGCAACUGAUGGCACUGCAGAAUAAGCACCGGCUAACUACGUGCCAGCAGCCGCGGUAAUACGUAGGGUGCAAGGUUGACCGGAAUUACUGGGCGUAAAAGUUGCGCAGGCGGUUCGGAAAGAAAGAUGUGAAAUCCCAGAGCGAAUCUUUGGAACUGCAUUUUUAACUACUGGAGCUAGAGUGUGUCAGAGGGAGGAAUUCCGCGUGUAGCAGUGAAAUGCGCGUAGAUAUGCGGAGGAACACCGAUGGCGUACAGCCUCCUGGAUAACAUUGACGUCGGCUAUGCAAUGAAAGUGUGGGGAGCAAACAGGAUUAGAUACUCCUGGUAGUCCACGCCUCAAACGAUGUCAACUAGCUGUUAGCCUUCGGCCUGGUAGCGCAGCUAACGCGCGGCUGACCGCCUGGGGAGUACGGUCGCAAGAUUAAAACUCAAAGGAAUUGACGGGGACCCGCACAAGCGGUGGAUGAUGUGGAUUAAUUCGAUGCAACGCGAAAAACCCACUCACUUGACAUGUCUGGAAUCCCGUGAAGAGAUUUGGGAAUGCUCGCAAGAGAACCGGAACACAGGUGCUGCAUGGCUGUCGUCAGCUCGUGUCGUGAGAUGUUGGGUUAAGUCCCGCAACGAGCGCAACCCUUGUCAUUAGUUGCUACGAAAGGGCACUCUAAUGAGACUGCCGGUGACAAACCGAGGAAGGUGGGGAUGACGUCAAGUCCUCAUGGCCCUUAUGGGCAGGGCUUCACACGUCAUACAAUGGUCGGGACAGAGGGUCGCCAACCCGCGAGGGGAGCCAAUCCCAGAAACCCGAUCGUAGUCCGGAUCGCAGUCUGCAACUCGACUGCGUGAAGUCGGAACGCUAGUAAUCGCGGAUCAGCAUGUCGCGGUGAAUACGUUCCCGGGUCUUGUACACACCGCCCGUCACACCAUGGGGAGUGGGUUUUACCAGAAGUAGUUAGCCUAACCGUAAGGAGGGCGAUUACCACGGUAGGAUUCAUGACUGGGGUGAAGUCGUAACAAGGUAA